UACGUAGGGUGCGAGCGUUACUCGGAAUUACUGGGCGUAAAGCGUGCGCAGGUGGUUUCGCAAGUCGAGUGUGAAAGCCCCGGGCUUAACCUGGGAAUUGCGCUCGAAACUACAGGACUGGAGUGUGGCAGAGGGAGGUGGAAUUCCACGUGUAGCGGUGAAAUGCGUAGAGAUGUGGAGGAACACCGAUGGCGAAGGCAGCCUCCUGGGCCAACACUGACACUCAGGCACGAAAGCGUGGGGAGCAAACAGG
Molecule: ribosomal RNA, 253 nt
Filed under: uncultured bacterium
Lineage: Bacteria
Description: partial 16S ribosomal RNA
Rfam family: Bacterial small subunit ribosomal RNA
Source: RNAcentral